Molecule: ribosomal RNA, 428 nt
Filed under: uncultured bacterium
Lineage: Bacteria
Description: partial 16S ribosomal RNA
Rfam family: Bacterial small subunit ribosomal RNA
Source: RNAcentral
GUAGGGAAUAUUGCGCAAUGGACGAAAGUCUGACGCAGCGACGCCGCGUGAGUGAUGAAGGCCUUAGGGUCGUAAAGCUCUGUUGAAUGGGAAGAAAAAAAUGACGGUACCAUUCGAGGAAGGACCGGCUAACUUCGUGCCAGCAGCCGCGGUAAUACGAGGGGUCCUAGCGUUGUUCGGAAUCAUUGGGCGUCAAGGGUGUGUAGGUGGCCAUGUAAGUCAGGUGUGAAAGCCCCGGGCUCAACCCGGGAAGUGCACUUGAUACUGCGUGGCUUGAGUACUGAAGAGGGUAGUGGAAUUCCAGGUGUAGUGGUGAAAUACGUAGAUAUCUGGAGGAACACCGGUGGCGAAGGCGGCUACCUGGUCGAGUACUGACACUGAGACACGAAAGCAUGGGGAUCAAACAGGAUUAGAUACCCCGGUAGUCC